GGCAAUCAAUCAACUGCGAAGAAAACCUUUUUCAAACCAGUGAAAUGUUUUGACACAAGUGCCUCUUCUGGCUGCAAACAUAAUAAUCUACAUACCAACAACAUUUAUCCAAAUUGCACUACUGAAACUCUAAAAAUCGAACAGCUUCAUUCCAAUUCAACUCCCACCGGCUCCCUUGUUUGCUUUCUUAAGAAUGCUAUGCUCUGCUGCUUAUUUGUUCCACUCAAUCAUCCAAUUGGGUGGCUAAUAUGCAAUCAGGUCAAGAGAGGUGAAUAAGUGUCUACGAUCCUAGACAUUCCAAGCGAGGCAAACUUCCUAGAGGGAAAACAGAAGACAAGUACUGAGUUUCUACGAUCUUCACAUUUUUCAUUCGGAUACAACCCAN
RNAcentral lists this long non-coding RNA (385 nucleotides) under Erythranthe guttata (spotted monkey flower). RNAcentral's name for it is "long non-coding RNA (EGUT_LNC003713)". The record is from RNAcentral. Lineage: Eukaryota; Viridiplantae; Streptophyta; Magnoliopsida; Lamiales; Phrymaceae.